This 468-nucleotide ribosomal RNA is filed under the name uncultured bacterium. RNAcentral's name for it is "partial 16S ribosomal RNA". It matches the Rfam family "Bacterial small subunit ribosomal RNA", at positions 28 to 507 of the family's 1533-position model. The record is from RNAcentral.
GACGAACGCUGGCGGCGUGCUUAACACAUGCCAGUCGAACGGAAAGGCCCUGCUUUUGUGGGGUGCUCGAGUGGCGAACGGGUGAGUAACACGUGAGUAACCUGCCCUUGACUUUGGGAUAACUUCAGGAAACUGGGGCUAAUACCGGAUAGGAGCUCCUGCUGCAUGGUGGGGGUGGGAAAGUUUCGGCGGUUGGGGAUGGACUCGCGGCUUAUCAGCUUGUUGGUGGGGUAGUGGCUUACCAAGGCUUUGACGGGUAGCCGGCCUGAGAGGGUGACCGGCCACAUUGGGACUGGGAUACGGCCCGGACUCCUACGGGAGGCAGCAGUGGGGAAUAUUGCAAAAUGGGCGGAAGCCUGAUGCAGCAACGCCGCGUGCGGGAUGACGGCCUUCGGGUUGUAAACCGCUUUCGCCUGUGACGAAGCGUGAGUGACGGUAAUGGGUAAAGAAGCACCGGCUAACUACGUG